CCUACGGGAGGCAGCAGUGAGGAAUAUUGGUCAAUGGACGAGAGUCUGAACCAGCCAAGUAGCGUGAAGGAUGACUGCCCUAUGGGUUGUAAACCUCUUUUAUAAAGGAAUAAAACGCGGCACGUGUGCCUUUUUGCAUGUACUUUAUGAAUAAGGAUCGGCUAACUCCGUGCCAGCAGCCGCGGUAAUACGGAGGAUCCGAGCGUUAUCCGGAUUUAUUGGGUUUAAAGGGAGCGUAGAUGGGUUGUUAAGUCAGGUGUGAAAGUUUGCGGCUCAACCGUAAAAUUGCAAUUGAUACUGGCAGUCUUGAGUACGGUAGAGGUAGGCGGAAUUCGUGGUGUAGCGGUGAAAUGCUUAGAUAUCACGAAGAACCCCGAUUGCGAAGGCAGCUUACUAAACUGUGACUGACAUUGAUGCUCGAAAGUGUGGGUAUCGAACAGGAUUAGAUACCCCUGUAGUC
RNAcentral lists this ribosomal RNA (460 nucleotides) under uncultured bacterium. RNAcentral's name for it is "partial 16S ribosomal RNA". It matches the Rfam family "Bacterial small subunit ribosomal RNA", at positions 338 to 795 of the family's 1533-position model. The record is from RNAcentral.